This 680-nucleotide ribosomal RNA is filed under the name Lactiplantibacillus plantarum ST-III. RNAcentral's name for it is "bacterial LSU rRNA". It matches the Rfam family "Bacterial large subunit ribosomal RNA", at positions 559 to 1239 of the family's 2925-position model. The record is from RNAcentral. Lineage: Bacteria; Bacillati; Bacillota; Bacilli; Lactobacillales; Lactobacillaceae.
UGUGCCUACAAUAAGUCAGAGCGCGUUAAUGCGUGAUGGCGUGCCUUUUGUAGAAUGAACCGGCGAGUUAUGAUCCCGUGCAAGGUUAAGACUAAAAAGUCGGAGCCGUAGCGAAAGCGAGUCUGAAAUGGGCGUUUUGAGUACGAGGUUAUAGACCCGAAACCAGGUGACCUAUCCAUGUCCAGGUUGAAGGUGCGGUAAAACGCACUGGAGGACCGAACCCGUGUAAGUUGAAAAUUGCUGGGAUGAGGUGUGGAUAGCGGUGAAAUUCCAAACGAACUUGGAGAUAGCUGGUUCUCUCCGAAAUAGCUUUAGGGCUAGCCUCGGAAUUAGGAUCAUGGAGGUAGAGCACUAUUUGGACUAGGGGCCCGUCUUGGGUUACUGAAUUCAGAUAAACUCCGAAUGCCAUUGAUUCAUAUCCGGGAGUCAGACGAUGAGUGAUAAGAUCCACCGUCGAAAGGGGAACAGCCCAGACCAUCAGUUAAGGUCCCUAAAUGUAUGCUAAGUGGAAAAGGAUGUGGAGUUGCAUAGACAACUAGGAUGUUGGCUCAGAAGCAGCCACCAUUUAAAGAGUGCGUAAUAGCUCACUAGUCGAGUGAUCCUGCGCCGAAAAUGUACCGGGGCUAAGCAUACUACCGAAACCAUGGAUGCGACCAUUAGGUCGCGUGAUAGGAGAGCGU